GGGGGAGUGGCGGAAUGGCAGACGCCGAGGACUUAAAAUCCUCUGCUCCUUUCGGAGCGUGUGGGUUCGAGUCCCACCUCCCCUACCA
Molecule: transfer RNA, 88 nt
Filed under: Planctomycetota bacterium
Lineage: Bacteria; Pseudomonadati; Planctomycetota
Description: tRNA-Leu
Rfam family: tRNA
About the family: Transfer RNA (tRNA) molecules are approximately 80 nucleotides in length.
Source: RNAcentral